This is a long non-coding RNA of Diceros bicornis minor, 890 nucleotides long. RefSeq lists it as uncharacterized. The transcript has 3 exons. The record is from RefSeq and is a predicted model, not a curated record. NCBI's taxonomy places the organism in Eukaryota, Metazoa, Chordata, Mammalia, Perissodactyla, Rhinocerotidae.
GUUAACCGCUAAGCCACGGGCCGGCCCUGACGGGGUUUUAAUUCUGCAAGGCACUCAAAACAGUUCUCAGCACGCAGAAAACACUCGACAGCGUUACUCGUUAUCAUUCCUCACAAUCGCCCUUUCACGAAGGGCAGUACCCGCCUCCUUUCCGAUCAGAGGUGGACGCCUGUCUGGGGUCCCCCGCUGGGCUGUGAGUGGCGCGUGGCCCAGAACCCGGUGGCCUCUAGCCCGCGCAGACCAUGACUACCACCUUCCCAGUCAGAGGGAAGGCUCGGUGUGUCCGACAAAGGCCCCGGCCCUGGGAACGACCACCUGGAGCCCAGGGUGCCGGGACGGCCUUCCCCGCCCGCCGUCCCCACGCUGGGAGGGGUGCCCCCUCAACCGCCUUCCUCGGAACCUCCAAGGCCCCCUCCCCUAAAAGCCUUUCAGGUCCCUAACAGUGGUAAGGAAGAAGACAAAAUGAGGAUCGAGGAUCAAAGGAUGAAUUUCUGCAUCCGUUGGAGAAAAGAAGAGAAGAGACACAGAGAAGACGGCCAUGUGAAGACAGAGGUGGAGAUGGGAGUUAUGCAGCCACAAGCCAAGGGAUGUGUGGGGCUACCAGAAGCUGGAAGAAGCUAGGAGGGAAUCCUCCUGUGGAGGCUUUGGAGGGAGCACAGCCCUGACGAUACCUUCGCUUCAGGAUUCUGGCCUCCAGAACUCUGUGAGAAUAAAUUUCUGUUGUUUUAAGCCUUCUAGUUUGUGGUGCUUUGUUCCAGCAGGUCUGGUUAGAGUCAGGGGCCAAGACUCAGCUAACGUCCUGGACCCUGUCUGUGCAUGUCUCCCAGCAGCAUCCCUAUAUUCACCUGAUGCCGAGCCUCCUGCCUCGAACUCAAAUCUCAGCUGUCUUC